UGUUUCCGAUCGCGGUUCGAAUGGUGAAAUACAUUAUUUUGUAACCCCAAUCCCCGAUCGAUAUUUGCACUCGGAGGGGAGAAACAUAUUUUGUGAGUUUUUUUUUUACUUGUGCAGUGCUUUCACCACGGUAGAAACAAGGCUGACUCGGUUGAGGCGGCCCGGGGGUAAGAUUCCACCCAGCCGUAAGGGGUGUCGAACGUGGUGCAUCGAAGGGUGAUUGGAAAUCGGAUUUGAUGUUUUUUUUCGACUCGUUCAUCAUUGGAAAAUUUUUGGAAGGGAUCGAUUUUUUCCGAUGAUGAUGGAUGUUAUUUUCGCUCGCUCAAUCCGCUUGGUUCAAUGACAUUCAGUCUGGGCGAAGACCUUGAUGACAAUUGCGUUUCAUUCGCUGAAAAUGAUACAUGGCAUGGAUUGAAUGUCGCAGUCGUGGAUGAAAUGGAAUAAAUUGUAAUUCCCAAGCUGAAAACUACUCGCCUACUGUGUGCACCCCGACUUUCAACCCGCACUCACCUUCACGUCUCGGACAGAAGUGGGUUCGCGCUAAUAUAAUACGUACACAUUUACAGUGUACAGUUAAAAAUCGUGAGAUGACACAAAAUAUGCUUUCCACCGGCCUGCUUUGUCACUCUGAUGUGUGAUGGGUUGCUUUGUAUGACGAAUGCGUUUCGACUUCUUUUGUCCCGGAUUCUGACGGUCGUUGGUUCUCACACACUAACUCCGAGACAUUAAGGUUGUUGCUGGUACGGGCUGGGGCAAUUGCCAAGCAAAUUGCCUUUUAAAAUGAGAAUUGGUAAUUGGAUUUGUUUGCUGGCGGGUUUACCGAGCAUACAAAUUAAAUGGAUUAUCGCAGCGGAGCUUGUGAGUUUUCACUAUGAUGGUUUGUAGUAGUAUGUAGUAGCAUUUCAAGUAAGACAAGAGUAAAUGUUCCAAGAAAGUUGCUCUCGGUAGGAAAAUCGAUAACGAGUGGGUGGCAGCUAAAAGCAUUGUAUGCUUGCAGUAUGAUUGGAUCGAGUGAAAAUAGUGAUUUUUUUGGAAAAAUCGUCCCCGUUUCCAAAAAGAAGAAUUUUUUUGUAGUCGAUC
Molecule: long non-coding RNA, 1080 nt
Organism: Topomyia yanbarensis
Lineage: Eukaryota; Metazoa; Arthropoda; Insecta; Diptera; Culicidae
Exons: 3
Source: RefSeq, a predicted model, not a curated record